Molecule: long non-coding RNA, 1735 nt
Filed under: Sus scrofa (pig)
Lineage: Eukaryota; Metazoa; Chordata; Mammalia; Artiodactyla; Suidae
Description: lncRNA (ENSSSCG00055019163.1)
Source: RNAcentral
CGCCGCCCCCAGCUUAGAGCCAGGAGCCCUUUCACACGCAGUGACUCUGCCUACUUGGCUCUUUCUGGACCUUGGACUCCUCCCUCAAGACCCCACUCAACUCACAGUCCCUGAAUUCAUCCCAGCCCCACGGUGCCCGCUCCAUCCUGUUCCCAACUCGCUGCGUAUGUGCCUGGCAGAACCGCCACCCACUACGGUGAGGCACAGUCUCCUUCGCAUCCACCUGAACGGCUCGAAGAGGAAGGACCGUGUUUUACUCCGUUUUCUCAACAACUCUGUGACCUGACGCACCUCUCAGUACAGUACAUGUCUGCUCCACGAAGUUUGGGGUUUUCCGGUUCUACCACCCAGUGGGGUUUCAAAGGUAUGAGAGACGCUUACAAAGUCCAAGCAUCUGAAUGUGAAAGGUGGUUUCUGGUUUAAAAAAAAAAAAAAAGAAAGUCGGACGUUCCUGUUGUGGCUCAGCAAUAACAAGCCUGACUAGGAUCCAUGAAGAUGUGGGUUGGAUCCCUGGCCUCGUUCAGGGGGUUAAGGAUCUGGCAUUGCCAGGAGCUGUGGUGUAGGUCACAGACACGGCUCGGAUCUGGCGUGGCUGUGACUGUGGUGUAGGCCAGUAGCUGCAGCUCCAACUGGACCCCUAGCCUGGGAACCUCCAUGUGCCACGGGUGCAGCCAUAAAAAGAAAACAAAAAAAGUCUCUUUCUCAUUUCAAAACAGUGCGAUAGGGAAGCGUCAAGUAGGGCAGGAGAGCACCGCCUGGUUGCAUCUCUUCGUCCUUCACCCUCCUCGGGAAUUAUCUUCAUCGAGGUCACGCAGGCAGCGAAUCCAAGCCAGAGCUUCCCAAGAACUCGGGGAAGGAGAGAGGGACCCACGACCCGGACGUGACUCUCAAGUGAAUCCCUGGGAGUGGCUGCUGCGGUUUCUUUGGAAGAACUGUUGGGCCAUCCGGUAUGAAGCGCUGAGGUCCUGCAGCUUGCUCACAGGGAAGGUGCCACGUCAUCUGGACAACUUCUGCUGUUUGCAGGAAACACUGCCAUGUUCACUGUCUCCAAGGAAACCAAACAGAUGUGGAUCGUUGCCCCGGAACUCAUUUCGGGUCCUGCAUCCAAGCCCAGGACCAGUCUCGGAGCGUCACACUACAGACUGUGAUAAACACUCGCUUAAUUAGCUUGAGUUAGUAAGCAGCUGACGUAUUCCCGGACAGUUUAACCCAUUAGGAUAAAGUUCUGUUACUCAUCUAAUUUCCUGGUUGCUGAUUUAGAAGUAGCCUUUGGCAGCUCGUACACUGUGAUCUGAUGUUUUACAAGUAAACGUGGCUAAAUCAAUCCAAGUCCAUCGCUGCCAUGGGCAUGAGGCAGAAAUAGUCUUCCGAUGCUGUGAGCCAGUCGGGCCAUACAACACUGAAAAAUGCACAGAGUGCAGCUACGUUCACGGCCCAGACGUCACAGAGAGGGGCUGGCAUUAGGAGAGCAGCCCUUCCCGCUGUUGUGCUGGAGCUGCAAUGUCAGCAGGACAGAAGACACGUGCUCGGUGAGCUGUGUGGCUGCUGCCUUUCACGCUGGUUCCGGGUGAGAUGCUGCCUGUGCUCCAUCAUCAAAACUGACUUGCGUCACAUGGGUUGGAUAUGGGUUGCAAUGUGCCUUUUGAGUGUGUUUUUUACCAAUAUAUUAUUUCCAACAUUUGAAAGGACUAUUUUCAAAAAUAAAAUACUACGAAAGAAAAUAUCUGCCUGUAAC